This 125-nucleotide small RNA is filed under the name Marmota monax (woodchuck). The record is from RNAcentral. Lineage: Eukaryota; Metazoa; Chordata; Mammalia; Rodentia; Sciuridae.
GUCGGGCAUGGUGGUGCAUGCCUGUAAUCCCAGCAGCUCAGGAGGCUGAGGAAGGAGGAUCACGAGUUCAAAGGCAGCCUCAGCAACAGCAAGGCCCUAAGCAACUCAGUGAGACCCUGUCUCUA